CCUACGGGUGGCAGCAGUGAGGAAUAUUGGUCAAUGGGCGAAAGCCUGAACCAGCCAAGUAGCGUGAAGGAUGACUGCCCUACGGGUUGUAAACUUCUUUUAUAAGGGAAUAAAGUGAGGCACGUGUUCCUUUUUGUAUGUACUUUAUGAAUAAGGAUCGGCUAACUCCGUGCCAGCAGCCGCGGUAAUACGGAGGAUCCGAGCGUUAUCCGGAUUUAUUGGGUUUAAAGGGAGCGUAGAUGGGUUGUUAAGUCAGUUGUGAAAGUUUGGGGCUCAACCGUAAAAUUGCACUUGAUACUGGCAGACUUGAGUGCAGUGGAGGCAGGCGGAAUUCGUGGUGUAGCGGUGAAAUGCUUAGAUAUCACGAAGAACACCGAUUGCGAAGGCAGCUUACUAAACUGCCACUGACAUUGAGGCUCGAAAGUGUGGGUAGCAAACAGGAUUAGAUACCCGUGUAGUC
RNAcentral lists this ribosomal RNA (460 nucleotides) under uncultured bacterium. Its description in RNAcentral is "partial 16S ribosomal RNA". It matches the Rfam family "Bacterial small subunit ribosomal RNA", at positions 338 to 795 of the family's 1533-position model. The record is from RNAcentral.